AGUGAACGCUGGCGGUAGGCCUAACACAUGCAAGUCGAACGGCAGCACAGUAAGAGCUUGCUCUUACGGGUGGCGAGUGGCGGACGGGUGAGGAAUACAUCGGAAUCUACUUUUUCGUGGGGGAUAACGUAGGGAAACUUACGCUAAUACCGCAUACGACCUACGGGUGAAAGCAGGGGAUCUUCGGACCUUGCGCGAUUGAAUGAGCCGAUGUCGGAUUAGCUAGUUGGCGGGGUAAAGGCCCACCAAGGCGACGAUCCGUAGCUGGCCUGAGAGGAUGAUCAGCCACACUGGAACUGAGACACGGUCCAGACUCCUACGGGAAGCAGCAGUGGGGAAUAUUGGACAAUGGGCGCAAGCCUGAUCCAGCCAUACCGCGUGGGUGAAGAAGGCCUUCGGGUUGUAAAGCCCUUUUGUUGGGAAAGAAAAGCAGCAGGUUAAUACCCCGCUGUUCUGACGGUACCCAAAGAAUAAGCACCGGCUAACUUCGUG
RNAcentral lists this ribosomal RNA (492 nucleotides) under uncultured bacterium. RNAcentral describes it as "partial 16S ribosomal RNA". It matches the Rfam family "Bacterial small subunit ribosomal RNA", at positions 29 to 507 of the family's 1533-position model. The record is from RNAcentral.